CCGUGUAUUGGACACAGUGAGAGUGAGAGGAAGAGAGAGAGGUUAGAGAGAGUAAGAGAGGUGGGGGGGUGUUCUCGGCCGGGUAAGGGCGGCGCCGGCGUCGCCGCCGGCGGCGGAGUGGGCCAUAGAGAGAGAGAGAGGUGGGGGCUUCUAGGGCUAGAGAGAGAAUGAGGGUGGGGAAACACCUCGGGCGACAAAGGGCGGCGGCGACGGCGUCGGCGUCUGAGAGAGAGAGAGAGCAAGAGGAAGAAGAGAGCGAGAGAGAGAGAGAGAGAGGGAGAGAGUUGGGGGGAAGAGGAAGACAG
RNAcentral lists this long non-coding RNA (305 nucleotides) under Ananas comosus (pineapple). RNAcentral describes it as "long non-coding RNA (ACOM_LNC040960)". Lineage: Eukaryota; Viridiplantae; Streptophyta; Magnoliopsida; Poales; Bromeliaceae. The record is from RNAcentral.